AUCGUGUUGGCAAAGAACAGAGAAGACGCCAAAUCCCAGUUUGUACGAAGAGAAGCAUUUUCAAGCACCGACACGCCAUAUUUAUUAGCUUUUAAAACUCUUUCUAAGAAGGUUUCCAGAGCCGUGCUGUUAACGCAGCUCAGGUUGAGGAACUCGGCUUUCAGAGAGCUCAGGUCCGCUUUCAGAGACUCCUCGAUGGGCCGCUCGAUGGCUGAGAAAACAAGCGCUCCCAAUAACAGAUAUGUGAAGUACGCCAAAAUGAAGCCGAUGAGCAUAAAGCAGGACCUGAACGCCGUUGACAUGGAAUGAAAAACAAACUCGUGAUGGAGUCUGAUAUGAAGAAGAAGAAGAGGGAGAAAGUCACAUGUUGCCGAGAGGAUAGAAAUAGCUGCAGUCUCUGUCAAAACAGUUUAGUGCUUUUCUGUUCAUAUGGGAGUAAACAGACCUCGUAUGCACUCAUGACGAGGGUGUGUGAGGACAGCAGUGAGAACAGCUGCACACAGGGAACUGCUAUCUUGGUAAACAAGCCACAACGUACUCUCUGAUUAGGCAAAGUCAAACCGUUUAUGCGUUACAUCUCAUCAUGAAGGAGAUGUUCUUGAGUGUUUCAUGUUA
This 615-nucleotide long non-coding RNA is filed under the name Danio rerio (zebrafish). RNAcentral describes it as "si:dkey-244a7.2 (ENSDARG00000097821.3)". The record is from RNAcentral. Lineage: Eukaryota; Metazoa; Chordata; Actinopteri; Cypriniformes; Danionidae.